GCUUGAAGCAUUUCCCAUUAUCAUAUUCUACUUGAGGGCCUGAUUUGCCGAGCUUGGUUCCUAAGCAAGCGCUUCGUGCGCCAAACCAUGGGCCUGCCUACUUCGUUUAUACCGAUGGCACCGCUAGUGUCCAUGAGAGCGACAGACAAGCUAUCUGCCGAAGAAGUGAUCCAGUUCAUGGUAGGCUUAGAGGCAGAGUAUUUCCGUGUAAAGGGCGACUACGUGGCCUUUAUCCAAACACACUUGAUGCCACCUUUGACCGGUGUUUGCGGGGUGAGGGGGUGAGAGCUCCUACCGCGAGAGCGAGACGCAGAACGACCCGGGCAAGCAAAGCCCGUGGUAGAGGGGCUUCUCAGGCGAGGCAGGUGACCAGGUGGCCAAAGUUACCUACUGCACUCACAUGUUGACAGCAUACUAGGGAGGCCUAUUAGAUCCCGAUUGAGCCCACAACAGCUGGGCAUAGAUACACCAGAGCCCAGGAUACACCUCCGGCACCUCCAAGAUAUAUCGAGGAUCUGCUUGAGCUACUAGCCUCAUUUGAGGGCAUGAUAUUGAGGAGGGAGGCACUGCUCGGCUUCCAUGGCAUUUAGGUCCCACCCAUACCGGGUGCGCCAGCAGGAGCAGCAGUAGGACUAACAGUGCCUCCUCCGGCGAUAAGGAAAGAGAGACAGGCUCCAACACGCAGCCAAGGCCGAGCUAAGGGCACCCGAGCUGAGAGUGGCCCUUCAAAGCCUAUUUUGAGCGAUGAUGAUGCUGAGACUAGUGAGGCCAAGGUGACGAUAAGUCAGCAUGCUGAGUCAUCCAAGAGUGGAGACGAUGAUGCUGGCUGGGGUUCUGAGAGUGGGGAUACUGAUGUUGAGGAGGGCUCCGAGGUAGAGAGUGGAGAUGGCUCCGAUUCAGACUCUGAUCCAGAUUCAAACAGUGGCACCGAUAGAGAUAGUGUUGCAGAGUCCUCUUCUUCGAAGAAGAGAACGAAGAGGGCUUCUCGAGCCUGAGGCGACCUGCGUUGAUUUUCUGUAGUUUUUUUUUUUUUUUUUCUUAGCUUCUUUGUGUUAAUAGCGUUAGGACAUUGUACAGCUUCAGACAAGUUUUAUUUUUUAAAAAAACUUGUACGGCACCUUUUGUAAAAAACAACAAUGAUCGGAAUGAAA
This is a long non-coding RNA of Camellia sinensis, 1151 nucleotides long. RefSeq lists it as uncharacterized. The record is from RefSeq and is a predicted model, not a curated record. NCBI's taxonomy places the organism in Eukaryota, Viridiplantae, Streptophyta, Magnoliopsida, Ericales, Theaceae.